UCCCAGCCCAAAAAAUACCCCAAAUCCCACCCCCCACACACACACCCCCAGCUUGCAGCCCUAGCGAACAUCACAUUUACCACUUUGGCCACCUAAGAAAUAACAGGAAUGAGCACUUUGGAAUGAGGUUUCUCUUCCAGAGAAAAGUUAUCUACAUUUACAGGACAGACCAGGCUUUGGGAAGCCCCUCACCCCAGGAUCCAAGGUUGAGCAUUGCCACCAGUGAGGACACCACAGGAAUACCCCUGGACCCACGGGCUUGGACAGAAGCCAUCAGCUAUGGCUCGUGCCCUGCACACUGUGGAUGCUGAUGGAUCCUCCUGGUCCCUCCUUCCCAGCCUGGAAAAGGCAGGGAGCUCGCUGGCCGUGUCCAGGCAGGAGAUGGAGCUGACAGCCAGGCAGCAGCACAGGAGGGGAAACAUUCCUGUGCUCCACCAGGACCCCCCGACUGAGGAGUUCCCACCAGGAAUGAGCCCUUUUCCAAGAGACCCGUGCUCCUUAUGGAAUGGAGCAGCACGGAUCUGCACUGGCUGCUUGCUUCUCCUGCAACUCCAGAGAUCCAGAGGCUUGGGAACACCAUUCAGGAAGCUCCCAGGAUUGGCCACUUUGCCUUUCCCUACCACUGAGAGGGUGCAGAAAUCGGGAUUUUCCCUGUCCAGCCCUAGCACUGCUCCUGCACAGCAGUUCCCAAUCUUCCUGGCAGGCAAAACAAACACAUUUGGUAUUUAUUCUGAGUUCCAACCACUGCUUCACCCCACAGCUGGCUUUGGGCAGUAUCAACUACGUUCUCAAUCUUGGUUUAAAAACAAACAAGAAGUUAUUGGCUGAGGUUUAUACCCUGUUUUUACCUGGCUGAGGGGCUACAAUUCCCACUCUAACUGUGGAGAGCUCAGUGGGGCUGGGGUUUCCUCAGCCCCACCGCGUGAUCCAACUUUGAUGCUGCUUCUCCUGGGUAAAAAUGCAGAAAGAUGGGCAAAGCCAAGGUGUUGCCACUUUCUCACAGAGAAAGCACGUGGCUGUUCCUCCCCAGUUCUAGGGCAGCAGCACUUUGGGGUUCAGUUUACUACGCCCUAAAAAGGAUUACAGCAUUUCCCAGUGCUCAGCCUUCCCCAAGAACAGUGCUCUGGACCUCUCCCAAAGUCCUGUCUCCAGCCGACACCUAGGUCAGUUUAUCCUGAUGCUUCACCUACCCCACUCUACACAUCAUGGAAGCAGCAUAAAUGGAGUUAUCUCUGUCAGCAAAGGAAAUUCUGCAAACACUAAAAAAAAAACCUUGAAAAACGACACAAACCAGGGCUGACCCCCCUCCUAACCCAACCACUGGAAACAAAGGCAUUGUGAUACAACAUUCCACCUCAAAAGAAGCUCUACAGACAUCUAAGUGUGCAAAUGUGGGUUUAGCUUUCCUUUUCCCAAGGGAUAACUGUAGCCCAACAAGGACCAAACAUUCCAUAUAAAUAAGGCGAGCUUUUUUUUGUUGUUUUUGCAUAGAAGUUACUCAGUGAUAGUCCCCCCCAGUGACCCCUCCUGUGCCCCCCGGCUUUGCCACCGAGCUGAGUCCUGCUCCUCCAGCUCCUGGAGUCCAGAAGAAACCUUGGACACAUCCCAAAGGCUCCCUCACCCCAAAAGGUGGGAUGAAGAAAACCCAAUGAAUUUUGUAGAACUGCUUCACCCUGCGAGCUGUCUCCAAACCCGCUGUUAUUUUUAAACAUUUGCAGUUCAAUUUGGAGGCAAUUCUUUUUCUUUUUUUCUUGUGCCAGACAUUGGUAAUUGCACCACAAUUGUCUUGGUUUUGCUGCUCUUUUUGCCAAUGUUGCUUUUGCCAAUCAGUGCAGCAGCUCAAUAAAACCAGCAGCUUAUUGAAGUACCCAGAGCCUCUGCAGCACCAUCCUCUGCUGCCACCAGCUUUGGUUGUUUGUUUUUUUUUUUUAAUAAUAUAUUUUAUAAAAACACCUGCUAUUAAUAUUCCACUGGAGCUCAAAGUGGCUCAGCUUGGGGCAA
This is a long non-coding RNA of Taeniopygia guttata (zebra finch), 2001 nucleotides long. The record is from Ensembl. Lineage: Eukaryota; Metazoa; Chordata; Aves; Passeriformes; Estrildidae.